AAUAAAUAAAACUUUAAUGUCUCCAGAUAAUCCAUAUGAUGUUGCUGAUAAAUGGCUACUCAAGGAGAAUCUUCCACUUUCUUUUCGUGAACAAGUUGUACAGUUCAUUCUUCAAAAUACCGGACAAAACAAUGUUACUUUUGAUGCCUCAUUUCGUGAUCCCUAUACUGGCUCCCAUGCUUACGUACCAGGACAACCUUCUCAUUUGUCUGAUAUUUCUGCAAAACCCACUUUCAAGCAUAUUCCUAAGAAAGGGAUGCUUGUUUUUGAUGCUGCUCGGUUUGAUGGGAUUCUUAAAAAGAUUAUUGAGUUCAAUAAUGCAUUACAAUCUGACCAGGUAGAUAUGGUAGAUAUUUUAUUCUUCUUUGGUUAUUAAUUUGUUAUAGAUACGGUUAAAAUCAUAUACUUUUGGCCAAAGGAACUUCAAAGUUGCCAUGUUCAGGAUUGGGGAAUGUUUUAAUCUUCCAUGUCUGCUUUACCCAUGAUCAUUUCGAACUCCAAUGUGCUUGUUGAUGAUGAUAACUUAAACUGCCUUUUGAUUAAAGACUUGAAAUCUGAAGUUUAUGAUGUCCUUUAAUACGGACUUAAACAUGAUUUCCAACUACCUAUGAGAAACUCUGCAUAUGAACUAUGUAUAAGAAUUAAUAACAAUAAAGCUGCACAUUUUAGCAAGUGGGCUUCAACUUUUACGGAGCAUACAUGAAUUCAAAAAUAAAGUGUGCUGUGUAAAUUGGUUAUAUUUUUUGAAUCUCAUGCAGGAAAAGCAAAACUUGUCUUUGACUGAGCUCAAUGUUUCCAGACUGGGUGCCAUUGUUAAAAUUCUGAAAGAUACUUCACAUUAUCAUUCUAGUAAAUUUGCAGACUCUGAUAUAGACUUGUUACUGAAUCUGCUUCGAUCAUGGCCUAUUGCAAUGAUAUUUCCUGUCAUUGAUAUCAUAAGGAUGAUAGUUCUUCAUCCAGAUGGGGCUAUUUUACUUAACAAGCAUUUUGAAGCAGAAAACGGUAUCAAUGUUAACCAUAAUUUUGUUUUCUGACAUUAAAUUAUGAUAGCAAUCAAUAGAAUCCCAUUUUUUUUAUGUGAAAUUGGUCUGAAAAUUGAGAGAAGUGAGAACCACUCUAGACUCCCAUGCUUGUAGUGUGAGACUCCCGUCCCAUACCUUGUAAUUGAAUCCUAGCAUAGUAGCAUCUCAUCAUGCUUCCCCUGCACCAGUGAUCACGUGGGUUGUCUGUACACUAACUCUUUGACUAGUCACACGUAAGCAUUGUUAU
Molecule: RNA transcript, 1269 nt
Organism: Vigna angularis (adzuki bean)
Lineage: Eukaryota; Viridiplantae; Streptophyta; Magnoliopsida; Fabales; Fabaceae
Gene name: protein DOA1-like
Exons: 5
Source: RefSeq, a predicted model, not a curated record